This 406-nucleotide ribosomal RNA is filed under the name uncultured bacterium. RNAcentral's name for it is "partial 16S ribosomal RNA". It matches the Rfam family "Bacterial small subunit ribosomal RNA", at positions 30 to 526 of the family's 1533-position model. The record is from RNAcentral.
AUUGAACGCUGGCGGCAGGCCUAACACAUGCAAGUCGAACGAGUGGCGGACGGGUGAGUAAUGUCUGGGAAACUGCCUGAUGGAGGGGGAUAACUACUGGCAACGGUCGAUAAUACCGCAUAACAUCAGAUGUGCCCAGAUGGGAUUAGCUAGUAGGUGGGGUAAAGGCUCACCGAGGCGACCAGCCCUAGCUGGUCUGAGAGGAUGACCAGCCACACUGGAACUGAGACACGGUCCAGACUCCUACGGGAGGCAGCAGUGGGGAAUAUUCGACAAUGGGCGCAAGCCUGAUGCAGCCAUGCCGCGUGUAUGAAGAAGGCCUUCGGGUUGUAAAGUACUUUCAGCGGGGAGGCGUUACCCGCAGAAGAAGCAACGGCUAACUCCGUGCCAGCAGCCGCGGUAAUAC